This 1138-nucleotide long non-coding RNA is filed under the name Marmota monax (woodchuck). Lineage: Eukaryota; Metazoa; Chordata; Mammalia; Rodentia; Sciuridae. The record is from RNAcentral.
ACCAAACACCUCAUGGGGAGUUCCCUGUGAUUAUCUGGUGGAGGAAGAGGAGCCUUGGGCAUGGCUCUGUACAAUAUGUAAGCAAUACCAGAAAGUGGACAACUGUAGCGCUCUAGCCCCUCCACAGGUCACCCUAAAGGACAGUGGUGAGGGGAAAUCUUCCCAAUAAGCAUAACUUCAAGCAGUACACUUGGUUAUUCACUUUGAUUAGAAGGAAAUUACCCACUAUAUAAUUAUAUACUGAUUCAUGACCUGUGUCUAACAGUUUUACUCUAUGGUCAGGGAACUGGAAGGGACAAGUUUGAAAAAUUGGUGAUAAGAAAAUUUGGGGAGAUGUAUGUGGUUAGACUUCUCUAAUGGGAUAUUUGUGUCCCACUGGAAUGCUUAUGAAUAGGUGGCCUCAUCAAAGGAGGAUUUUAGUAAUCUAAUGGAUAGGAUGAUCUGUUCUGUGGGUAUCAGCUUCUUUUUCCAGACACCUCGUCACACCCAGUGGGCUCAUGAACAAUGUGGCCCUGAAAGCAGGGUUGAAAGUUAUGCAUGGAUUCAGAAACUUGGACUUCUAUUCACCAUGGCUGACCUGGAUAUGGCCACUGAUGAGUGCCCAGUCUUCCAGCAGCAAAGACUAACCAUGAGUCUUUGAUAGGGCACACUUUUCUAGGAUGAUCAGCCAGCUAUGUGGUGGUAGGUUAGUUACACUGGACUGCUUCCAUUGUGGGAGACACAGUAUUUUGUACUUACUAGAAUAAACACAUACUUUGGCUAUAUAUUUGUCUGUACUGAAUUGCAUGCUUCUGCCCAAACUGUCUGGGCUUACAGAAUGCCUUAUUUGUUGUACGUGUAUUCCAUACAGUAUUGCUUCCAAUCAAGCAACCCACUUCACAGCAGACUAAAUGCAACAGUGAAGACACACUCAUGGACACACUGGGCUUACCAUGUUCUACACUAUUCUGAAGCAGCUGGCUUGAUAUGGAAUGGCCUUUCAAAUUUGGUUAAUUGUCAGGUAGCAAUACAUUGAAGAUCUAAGGCAAAGUCCUCCAGAAAUUUAUUAAGUCUCUGAAUCAGCAUUCACUAUAUGGUGAUAUGUCUUUGUAGCCAAGAUUCUGGGAUCCAGCAAUCAAGGGGUAGAAAUGGGAGUGGC